Molecule: long non-coding RNA, 235 nt
Organism: Schistocerca cancellata (South American locust)
Lineage: Eukaryota; Metazoa; Arthropoda; Insecta; Orthoptera; Acrididae
Exons: 2
Source: RefSeq, a predicted model, not a curated record
UGACAGCAACACUUCAAGAAGGCACGGGAAGUAAGCAUACGGGUGGUGCAACUGGAAGUCACAUUUUAAAUAAAUUUCCCAAACGAUUCAUUUCGAGGAUGGGCACGAGUUCACAACUGCAUACAAACUUCAAGGUAAACUAUCACUACGUGCAUAUCCUAACAGCAUACAAACGGCAUUUGUUUGAGUAAUUACAUUUUGUAUACAUUUCUACUGUAUAUAGCUAAUCUUACUA